AAUGCUGUUGUCUGGUUAUGCCAAGAACUUCCUAAGUGCCACUGGGCUUUCAUCAUGAAGACGGGUGGCAAAACCAUCAAAGAAGCUGCUAAAAUUGAACAGCUGUAGAAGUGAAGGCAGAUAACUGAAACAGAGAAGUUCUGUGGAAGGCAGAAGAACACUCACAGAAAGACUGAACAUGAAAUCGAUCCCUCGGUUUGUUCAUAACAAUGAGAAAGAGAUUUCACAUAAUUCUGCUCAACAUACAAAUACUGAAGACGAAUGUAAAAGUAUUAACGUUAACAAAAAUGGGAUAAAAUACUCUUAUACCUACAAAGCCCUUUUCAACAUGGAUUGCCUUUUCUGGGAAAAACAGACUUGAGUGUCUUGUGGAUAAAUGGACCAGUUUUCCCCAUAUACAGCCAGUCCAUUCAUUCCUAGGCAUAGUGUAUGUAAUCUACUCGCCAGCUGCUCUGUGAAAACACAUACCUACGAGUCUUCGUUGGGGCGGAAG
Molecule: long non-coding RNA, 493 nt
Organism: Neogale vison (American mink)
Lineage: Eukaryota; Metazoa; Chordata; Mammalia; Carnivora; Mustelidae
Exons: 3
Source: RefSeq, a predicted model, not a curated record